AGCGUAGACGGUGUGGCAAGUCUGAUGUGAAAAGGCAUGGGCUCAACCUGUGGACUGCAUUGGAAACUGUCAUACUUGAGUGCCGGAGGGGUAAGCGGAAUUCCUAGUGUAGCGGUGAAAUGCGUAGAUAUUAGGAGGAACACCAGUGGCGAAGGCGGCUUACUGGACGGUAACUGACGUUGAGGCUCGAAAGCGUGGGAGCAAACA
This 207-nucleotide ribosomal RNA is filed under the name uncultured bacterium. RNAcentral's name for it is "partial 16S ribosomal RNA". It matches the Rfam family "Bacterial small subunit ribosomal RNA", at positions 568 to 774 of the family's 1533-position model. The record is from RNAcentral.